AUACUCACCUGGCAGGGGAGACGCUAUGAUCACAAAGGUGAUUUUCCCAGGGUUAGGCUCAUAUUCCAGGUGUGCUGACCCCUGCAAUGUCCCCAAAUGCAGGAAAUUCGACUGCAUAAUCGGUGGCUGGGGGGACUGUGUUUGCGAUUUCCCAU
This 155-nucleotide small nuclear RNA is filed under the name Rhinopithecus roxellana (golden snub-nosed monkey). RNAcentral describes it as "U1 spliceosomal RNA (ENSRROG00000016284.1)". It matches the Rfam family "U1 spliceosomal RNA". Rfam says of the family: U1 is a small nuclear RNA (snRNA) component of the spliceosome (involved in pre-mRNA splicing). Its 5' end forms complementary base pairs with the 5' splice junction, thus defining the 5' donor site of an intron. Lineage: Eukaryota; Metazoa; Chordata; Mammalia; Primates; Cercopithecidae. The record is from RNAcentral.